This 256-nucleotide ribosomal RNA is filed under the name uncultured Leptotrichia sp. Its description in RNAcentral is "partial 16S ribosomal RNA". It matches the Rfam family "Bacterial small subunit ribosomal RNA", at positions 99 to 356 of the family's 1533-position model. Lineage: Bacteria; Fusobacteriati; Fusobacteriota; Fusobacteriia; Fusobacteriales; Leptotrichiaceae. The record is from RNAcentral.
CGGACGGGUGAGUAACGCGUAGAGAACUUGCCCUUUAGACUGGGAUAACAGAGGGAAACUUCUGAUAAUACUGGAUAAGUUAGUAUAUCGCAUGAUAUGCAAAUGAAAGCUACGGCACUAAAGGAGAGCUUUGCGUCCUAUUAGCUAGUUGGUAAGGUAAGAGCUUACCAAGGCGAUGAUAGGUAGCCGGCCUGAGAGGGUGGACGGCCACAAGGGGACUGAGAUACGGUCCAGACUCCUACGGGAGGCAGCAGCG